GUAGGGAAUAUUGGUCAAUGGACGAAAGUCUGAACCAGCCAUUCCGCGUGCAGGAAGAAGAUUCUAUGGAUUGUAAACUGCUUUUAGCAGAGAAGAAACGCCUUCAUUGAUGAGGGUUUGACGGUAUCUGCGGAAUAAGCACCGGCUAACUCCGUGCCAGCAGCCGCGGUAAUACGGGGGGUGCAAGCGUUAUCCGGAAUCACUGGGUUUAAAGGGUGCGUAGGCGGGAAAUUAAGUCAGUGGUGAAAGUCUGUUGCUUAACGAUAGAAUUGCCGUUGAUACUGAUGUUCUUGAAUUGGGUUGAGGUUAGCGGAAUGUGACAUGUAGCGGUGAAAUGCAUAGAUAUGUCAUGGAACACCAAUUGCGAAGGCAGCUAGCUGGGCCUUGAUUGACGCUGAGGCACGAAAGCGUGGGUAGCGAACAGGAUUAGAUACCCUUGUAGUCC
This 445-nucleotide ribosomal RNA is filed under the name uncultured bacterium. RNAcentral's name for it is "partial 16S ribosomal RNA". It matches the Rfam family "Bacterial small subunit ribosomal RNA", at positions 354 to 796 of the family's 1533-position model. The record is from RNAcentral.